UGCACCGCAGAGGACUUCAUGAAGAAUAGCAUCACUCUCAUCUAAACCACUUGUUCACGAUGACUACACACAAACCACUUUGUGAAGCCAAAACAACACCUAAAGAGAAGCAACACCCGAUACAAAUUAAACUCCCUACUCAAUGUACCCUUUAUCUGGACGCUUCAAAGUCUUAAUCUCUUAUACUGCUUCAACACACAAAAGCCAUCAAAGAUAAACAAAAACCAAAACGACUACGAAAAUAACCUUAUUCAAGGGACGGAAAAAGACCCUUAGCAACAACAAGAUGGAGAGGUGUCCUGAAAUCAGCUUCUUCUCGAUGACAAUACCAACCAACUGUUCAUCCCAUGCCGCUGCUUCACGGUUGUUGAAUCAAAGACCAACUAAGAAAAACUCUACAAGAUGACCAAAACAGAAACUGAACGAAGAGGGACAUAAGGUUAAAACCUGGUAGAAUCCACCAUGAUAAAUCAACGACGAACGUCAACCAGCAAGUUCAGAACCACUAGAACAACAAUUCACGAACUCUUCAAUCCGGAAUCUUUCAUUUUUUCAGAUCCGAAGCUAUCGAGAAAACUUACCACACAAACUACAAUAGAAGAAGAAAAUACUCGGACUGGAUCGACGGUACACACGCCGACCAAAAGAGAAGCAACGUCGACUGCUGUAAGUUGAGGC
Molecule: long non-coding RNA, 678 nt
Filed under: Brassica rapa (field mustard)
Lineage: Eukaryota; Viridiplantae; Streptophyta; Magnoliopsida; Brassicales; Brassicaceae
Description: long non-coding RNA (BRAP_LNC006083)
Source: RNAcentral